RNAcentral lists this ribosomal RNA (254 nucleotides) under uncultured bacterium. RNAcentral describes it as "partial 16S ribosomal RNA". It matches the Rfam family "Bacterial small subunit ribosomal RNA", at positions 524 to 776 of the family's 1533-position model. The record is from RNAcentral.
UACGUAGGGUGCGAGCGUUAAUCGGAAUUAUUGGGCGUAAAGAGCUCGUAGGCGGUGUGUCACGUCGGCCGUGAAAACCUGCAGCUUAACUGUGGGCGUGCGGUCGAUACGGGCAUCACUGGAGUUCGGCAGGGGAGACUGGAAUUCCUGGUGUAGCGGUGAAAUGCGCAGAUAUCAGGAGGAACACCGGUGGCGAAGGCGGUUCUCUGGGCCUUACCUGACGCUGAGGAGCGAAAGCGUGGGGAGCGAACGGG